GGAGGUCAUAAGAGGUGGUGAGCAUGCCCAUGACAGAGCUGUGUGCUCCGUGUGUGACUGGCAGUGUGUUUGGAGGAGGCAUAUGCAUCAGAGUGAAUUCGGCACAAAUGAAGAGGCAGCAAUAAGGUGAAUAAUGCUGCCUGGUAUCCUGCUUGCUCCCAGUGCCCAAAUCGGUCCAAGGCUGCGUGCGAGUUGUUCAACAAAACAAAAAUUUUCUGCUGACUAAUGAGUCUCUGACUUCCUCCAGUCUACCAAACGUUCUAGUUUGAGAAUUCUGGAACCAUUCAAACCCACCAUAAGCAGUGCGUCGGGUGCCUGGCAUGCCUGGGAGCUGCUGCCGGGGCACCUGCACUGCAACACUGAUGUUCCUGGAGUUUGCCUCCCAGCUCUGAUCACCAAUACCUAGUACUGUGACCUUCAGGGCACGCAGCGCCGUUCUCUGGGUUUUCUGCAGAAGUAGGGCUUGAGUAGUUUUGCAAAAGGACAGUCAGGUCUGGGAAGUCUCCCUCAGCCCCUCCUUCUCUGGAUAAAAAUAAGACAUUAUUAUUUUAGUGUAAGUGCACACGCACUGGUUUAUAGCCAAAUAACCAAACGUGCCAGGUCUGACUGAUUCACCAUCUCACUGCCCAUCGUUGAG
Long non-coding RNA from Oxyura jamaicensis (ruddy duck), 637 nucleotides. RefSeq lists it as uncharacterized. Lineage: Eukaryota; Metazoa; Chordata; Aves; Anseriformes; Anatidae. The record is from RefSeq and is a predicted model, not a curated record. The transcript has 3 exons.